Molecule: non-coding RNA, 109 nt
Organism: Oryza punctata
Lineage: Eukaryota; Viridiplantae; Streptophyta; Magnoliopsida; Poales; Poaceae
Source: Rfam
UUUAAGUGCAGUCAUGAGUUUCCGUGUCCAAUUAUUAGUCUUGUUUUAAAAAAAUUCAAAUAAGACGGAUGAUUAAAGUUGGACACGGAAACUCAUGGCUGCGCUUAUA